UGCCAUGGGCAGAGGCUGGGAUAGAC
RNAcentral lists this non-coding RNA (26 nucleotides) under Mus musculus (house mouse). The record is from RNAcentral. Lineage: Eukaryota; Metazoa; Chordata; Mammalia; Rodentia; Muridae.